This 742-nucleotide ribosomal RNA is filed under the name uncultured bacterium. Its description in RNAcentral is "bacterial SSU rRNA". It matches the Rfam family "Bacterial small subunit ribosomal RNA", at positions 8 to 796 of the family's 1533-position model. The record is from RNAcentral.
AGAGUUUGAUCAUGGCUCAGAGCGAACGCUGGCGGCAGGCCUAACACAUGCAAGUCGAGCGCCGUAGCAAUACGGAGCGGCAGACGGGAGAGUAACACGUGGGAACGUGCCCUUCAGUUCGGAACAACCCAGGGAAACUUGGGCUAAUACCGGAUACGUCCGUAAGGAGAAAGAGUUAUCGCUGAAGGAUCGGCCCGCGUCUGAUUAGCUUGUUGGUGAGGUAACGGCUCACCAAGGCGACGAUCAGUAGCUGGUCUGAGAGGAUGAUCAGCCUCACUGGGACUGAGACACGGCCCAGACUCCUACGGGAGGCAGCGGUGGGGAAUAUUGGACAAUGGGCGCAAGCCUGAUCCAGCCAUGCCGCGUGGAUGAUGAAGGCCCUAGGGUUGUAAAGUCCUUUCGGCGGGGAAGAUAAUGACGGUACCCGCAGAAGAAGCCCCGGCUAACUUCGUGCCAGCAGCCGCGGUAAUACGAAGGGGGCUAGCGUUGCUCGGAAUCACUGGGCGUAAAGCGCACGUAGGCGGCUUUUUAAGUCAGGGGUGAAAUCCUGGAGCUCAACUCCAGAACUGCCUUUGAUACUGAGAAGCUUGAGUCCGGGAGAGGUGAGUGGAACUGCGAGUGUAGAGGUGAAAUUCGUAGAUAUCGGAAGGAACACCUGUGGCGAAAGCGGCUCACUGGACCACAACUGACGCUGAUGCACGAAAGCUAGGGGAGCAAACAGGAUUAGAUACCCUAGUAGUCC